Labeo rohita (rohu) is the source of this 1764-nucleotide RNA transcript. It is a transcript of the gene named immunoglobulin lambda-1 light chain-like, with no coding region annotated. The record is from RefSeq and is a predicted model, not a curated record. The transcript has 4 exons. Lineage: Eukaryota; Metazoa; Chordata; Actinopteri; Cypriniformes; Cyprinidae.
GUUGUAUGAGGUGGGCGGGUCUUUCUCUUCACUGUCUUAAAGUUUGUGUCUCUGAUCUGAUCUCAGCAUUAUUCUACAGCACUGCUCAUCUUCACACAUCAACACCAAAUCACAAGAUGAUCACAAUAUUCUGCGCUUUCUUCACUCUUCUGACCUGUGUCAGUGGAGUGACUGUACUGACUCAGAGUCCAUUAAUCACAGUCAAUAAAGGACAAACAGCUAAACUGGACUGUAAUCUGGGGACAGUAACUAAUGAUGCUGCUAGAUGGUACAAACAGACUCCAGGUCGAGUUCCUCAGCAUGUGUUAAGAUUUCGUCAUGGCUGGAGCUCAGUUGGAUAUGGAACUGGUUUCUCUGCUCCUAAAUUCACGAGCUUCCAAAACACAUUCAUCUAAAUCAGAUUAUAGUCUGAUCAUCAAUAAUGUGGAAGUGGAUGAUUCUGCAGUGUAUUACUGUAAGACAUGGGACAACUCUGUUAGUGAUUACGUAUCACAGUGAUUCACAGCAUGACAAAAACCUCCUCACUGCUCACAUUCGCUUCUGCUCCUAGAAAAUAAAUAUAAGUACCUUUUUUAUCAGCAGCUCCAAAUUGGACACUAAAGGAAACAUUCUUUAAUCCACAGGACUUUCUGUCUUCUGAGGAGCACAGAAGGAGAAAUUUAGCAGAAUGUCUAAGUUGCUCUUUUACAUACAAUUAAAGCAUAAAGUGACCAGUGACUGUCCAGAUACAAACAGGAUAUAAAAGCACAAUAAGAAGCAUGAAUGAGAUUUCAGAGUUACAGCAUAGUGAAAUUUUUAUUAUUUUCGCACAUACCCUUCAUUAAUGGACUUAUGGAAGAGCCCAUCAUGAAGGAAUUCAGGAUUUCACUUUUGUUUGGAAAAUGAUGUCCCCUUCCUGAAGUGGAUUGACUCAGUUUUAACAACUGAUUAUUUUUUAAAUAAUCAUGGAAAUCUUGAAAUAAUAUACAAAUGAACAAUAAUAAGAAUGAAUGACAUCAACUAGUAAAAAAGACUGAAACUGUGGGAGGUUUUUAAGUGAAGAUGUGACAUGUAUCACUGUGGUAUUCAGCCAAGGAACAAAACUCAGUGUGAUCGAUUUUCCUCUCACUCCUCCUGUUCUGACACUCUUGUCUCCGUCCACUGAGGCUCUGAAGGAGAGUAAAGCUACACUUGUGUGUCUGGCUGAGGAUAGUCACCUGGUCAGUCAAUGGUCGCUCCGUUUACAGAUGGAGUUUGGAGCAGUCCUACUGAGAAACAACAAGACAAAACCUUCAAAAUGAGCAGCUAUCUUCAAAAUGAGCAGCUAUAUGUGCUUCAAUUUUUGGUUUUGAUUCUGGAAUUAAAAAUCUUUGACAUUGGUUUGCAUUUUCUUUCAUGCAGGCACAUUCAUGACUCUCUUAAAUGAGUCUACCCCUCAAGAUUGCUGUUAUAAACAUGAGCCGCGUCUAAAAGGACUCUAGAUACGGUCGCUCCUCUGCGCCUAAGGAAGAUUAAGGAAAACAGUCCGACCCCGUGGUAUAACGAGCACACUCGCGCCCUAAAGAGGGCAGCCCGGAAAAUGGAGCGCAGCUGGAGGAAAACAAAACUAAAGGUUUUUCGUACUGCUUGGCGUGAAUGUACCCUAUCGUAUAGAAAAGCAUUAAAAACUGCAAGAUCUGAUUACUUUUUGACUUUUAGAAGAAAACAAACAUAACUAUAGGUAUUUAUUCAAUACAGUGGACAAGUUAACAAAAAAUAAAGAACCAACAGGCACUGACUGUGCCU